RNAcentral lists this ribosomal RNA (497 nucleotides) under uncultured bacterium. RNAcentral's name for it is "partial 16S ribosomal RNA". It matches the Rfam family "Bacterial small subunit ribosomal RNA", at positions 28 to 507 of the family's 1533-position model. The record is from RNAcentral.
GAUGAACGCUGGCGGCGUGCCUAAUACAUGCAAGUCGAGCGAACAGACGAGGAGCUUGCUCCUUCGACGUUAGCGGCGGACGGGUGAGUAACACGUAGGUAACCUACCUAUAAGACUGGGAUAACUUCGGGAAACCGGAGCUAAUACCGGAUAAUAUUUCGAACCGCAGGGUUCGAUAGUGAAAGAGGGCUUUGCUAUCACUUAUAGAUGGACCUGCGCCGUAUUAGCUAGUUGGUAAGGUAACGGCUUACCAAGGCAACGAUACGUAGCCGACCUGAGAGGGUGAUCGGCCACACUGGAACUGAGACACGGUCCAGACUCCUACGGGAGGCAGCAGUAGGGAAUCUUCCGCAAUGGGCGAAAGCCUGACGGAGCAACGCCGCGUGAGUGAUGAAGGUCUUCGGAUCGUAAAACUCUGUUAUUAGGGAAGAACAAACGUGUAAGUAACUGUGCACGUCUUGACGGUACCUAAUCAGAAAGCCACGGCUAACUACGUG